RNAcentral lists this ribosomal RNA (301 nucleotides) under uncultured bacterium. RNAcentral's name for it is "partial 16S ribosomal RNA". It matches the Rfam family "Bacterial small subunit ribosomal RNA", at positions 509 to 807 of the family's 1533-position model. The record is from RNAcentral.
CAGCCGCCACGGGAAUACAGAGGGUGCGAGCGUUAAUUGGAAUUACUGGGCGUAAAGCGCACGCAGGCGGUCUGACAAGUCAGAUGUGAAAUCCCCGGGCUUAACCUGGGAACUGCAUUUGAAACUGUCAGGCUGGAGUCUUGUAGAGGGGGGUGGAAUUCCAGGUGUAGCGGUGAAAUGCGUAGAGAUCUGGAGGAAUACCGGUGGCGAAGGCGGCCCCCUGGACAAAGACUGACGCUCAGGUGCGAAAGCGUGGGGAGCAAACAGGAUUAGAUACCCCUGUAGUCCCUGUCUCUUAUAC